GUGGGGAAUCUUCCGCAAUGGGCGCAAGCCUGACGGAGCAACGCCGCGUGAGUGAGGAAGUUUUUCGGAACGUAAAGCUCUGUUGUUCCUGACGAACGUGCCACCUAUCAACAACGGGUGGCAAUGACGGUAGGGAACGAGGAAGCCACGGCUAACUACGUGCCAGCAGCCGCGGUAAUACGUAGGUGGCAAGCGUUGUCCGGAAUUAUUGGGCGUAAAGCGCAUGUAGGCGGUGGAUUAAGUCUGUCGUGAAACUGCGGGGCUCAGCCCCGUAUGGCGAUGGAAACUGGUCCACUUGAGUGCAGGAGAGGAAAGGGGAACUCCCAGUGUAGCGGUGAAAUGCGUAGAUAUUGGGAAGAACACCGGUGGCGAAGGCGCCUUUCUGGACUGUGUCUGACGCUGAGAUGCGAAAGCCAGGGUAGCGAACGGG
Molecule: ribosomal RNA, 430 nt
Filed under: uncultured rumen bacterium
Lineage: Bacteria
Description: bacterial SSU rRNA
Rfam family: Bacterial small subunit ribosomal RNA
Source: RNAcentral